Poecilia latipinna (sailfin molly) is the source of this 395-nucleotide long non-coding RNA. RefSeq lists it as uncharacterized. The transcript is spliced from 2 exons. NCBI's taxonomy places the organism in Eukaryota, Metazoa, Chordata, Actinopteri, Cyprinodontiformes, Poeciliidae. The record is from RefSeq and is a predicted model, not a curated record.
CCCUCGGAACUGGGAAAUUCCGACUUCCCAGUUGGAAAUCUCACCUGGGACGCCCGCCGAAGUCGGAUUCCCCACUGGGAAACUGGGAGCAACUCCAACUACUUUCAGUUACGACUAGUUAGACGGACUAUGCGUUUCAAAAUGGACGCUCGUCGCAUCGACUGUAUUGUUUGCGGGUCGCGUGGCCUCCGGCUCGGCCGUUCAGCCGCUUCGCUCGUUUGCUUGUGAUGAUCUCGGCGGUGAGCGUCGGCGUGGACAGCCCCGGCUUCUACAACUAAUGGCUUGUGGCUUCCAACCUGGCAGUGAUGAAUAGCGCCGUGGGUCCUCGCUGUGGUUUCAGGAUUAUCUUGAGUGUAUUUGGAGGGUUGCCAGAAUAAAGUCCAUGUAGCUCUCCA